UGGGGAAUAUUGGACAAUGGGCGCAAGCCUGAUCCAGCCAUACCGCGUGGGUGAAGAAGGCCUUCGGGUUGUAAAGCCCUUUUGUUGGGAAAGAAAUCCAGCUGGUUAAUACCCGGUUGGGAUGACGGUACCCAAAGAAUAAGCACCGGCUAACUUCGUGCCAGCAGCCGCGGUAAUACGAAGGGUGCAAGCGUUACUCGGAAUUACUGGGCGUAAAGCGUGCGUAGGUGGUCGUUUAAGUCCGUUGUGAAAGCCCUGGGCUCAACCUGGGAACUGCAGUGGAUACUGGACGACUAGAGUGUGGUAGAGGGUAGCGGAAUUCCUGGUGUAGCAGUGAAAUGCGUAGAGAUCAGGAGGAACAUCCAUGGCGAAGGCAGCUACCUGGACCAACACUGACACUGAGGCACGAAAGCGUGGGGAGCAAACAGGAUUAGAUACCCUGGUAGUCCACGCCCUAAACGAUGCGAACUGGAUGUUGGGUGCAAUUUGGCACGCAGUAUCGAAGCUAACGCGUUAAGUUCGCCGCCUGGGGAGUACGGUCGCAAGACUG
RNAcentral lists this ribosomal RNA (550 nucleotides) under uncultured bacterium. Its description in RNAcentral is "bacterial SSU rRNA". It matches the Rfam family "Bacterial small subunit ribosomal RNA", at positions 355 to 896 of the family's 1533-position model. The record is from RNAcentral.